Molecule: ribosomal RNA, 1495 nt
Filed under: uncultured bacterium
Lineage: Bacteria
Description: 16S ribosomal RNA
Rfam family: Bacterial small subunit ribosomal RNA
Source: RNAcentral
AGAGUUUGAUCCUGGCUCAGAUUGAACGCUGGCGGCAGGCCUAACACAUGCAAGUCGAGCGGAUGAAGGGAGCUUGCUCCUGGAUUCAGCGGCGGACGGGUGAGUAAUGCCUAGGAAUCUGCCUGGUAGUGGGGGAUAACGUCCGGAAACGGGCGCUAAUACCGCAUACGUCCUGAGGGAGAAAGUGGGGGAUCUUCGGACCUCACGCUAUCAGAUGAGCCUAGGUCGGAUUAGCUAGUUGGUGGGGUAAAGGCCUACCAAGGCGACGAUCCGUAACUGGUCUGAGAGGAUGAUCAGUCACACUGGAACUGAGACACGGUCCAGACUCCUACGGGAGGCAGCAGUGGGGAAUAUUGGACAAUGGGCGAAAGCCUGAUCCAGCCAUGCCGCGUGUGUGAAGAAGGUCUUCGGAUUGUAAAGCACUUUAAGUUGGGAGGAAGGGCAGUAAGUUAAUACCUUGCUGUUUUGACGUUACCAACAGAAUAAGCACCGGCUAACUUCGUGCCAGCAGCCGCGGUAAUACGAAGGGUGCAAGCGUUAAUCGGAAUUACUGGGCGUAAAGCGCGCGUAGGUGGUUCAGCAAGUUGGAUGUGAAAUCCCCGGGCUCAACCUGGGAACUGCAUCCAAAACUACUGAGCUAGAGUACGGUAGAGGGUGGUGGAAUUUCCUGUGUAGCGGUGAAAUGCGUAGAUAUAGGAAGGAACACCAGUGGCGAARGCGACCACCUGGACUGAUACUGACACUGAGGUGCGAAAGCGUGGGAGCAAACAGGAUUAGAUACCCUGGUAGUCACGCCGUAAACGAUGUCGACUAGCCGUUGGGAUCCUUGAGAUCUUAGUGGCGCAGCUAACGCGAUAAGUCGACCGCCUGGGGAGUACGGCCGCAAGGUUAAAACUCAAAUGAAUUGACGGGGGCCCGCACAAGCGGUGGAGCAUGUGGUUUAAUUCGAAGCAACGCGAAGAACCUUACCUGGCCUUGACAUGCUGAGAACUUUCCAGAGAUGGAUUGGUGCCUUCGGGAACUCAGACACAGGUGCUGCAUGGCUGUCGUCAGCUCGUGUCGUGAGAUGUUGGGUUAAGUCCCGUAACGAGCGCAACCCUUGUCCUUAGUUACCAGCACCUCGGGUGGGCACUCUAAGGAGACUGCCGGUGACAAACCGGAGGAAGGUGGGGAUGACGUCAAGUCAUCAUGGCCCUUACGGCCAGGGCUACACACGUGCUACAAUGGUCGGUACAAAGGGUUGCCAAGCCGCGAGGUGGAGCUAAUCCCAUAAAACCGAUCGUAGUCCGGAUCGCAGUCUGCAACUCGACUGCGUGAAGUCGGAAUCGCUAGUAAUCGUGAAUCAGAAUGUCACGGUGAAUACGUUCCCGGGCCUUGUACACACCGCCCGUCACACCAUGGGAGUGGGUUGCUCCAGAAGUAGCUAGUCUAACCGCAAGGGGGACGGUUACCACGGAGUGAUUCAUGACUGGGGUGAAGUCGUAACAAGGUAACC